Molecule: unclassified non-coding RNA, 603 nt
Filed under: Hevea brasiliensis (rubber tree)
Lineage: Eukaryota; Viridiplantae; Streptophyta; Magnoliopsida; Malpighiales; Euphorbiaceae
Source: RNAcentral
CAUCAAGAACAAGAAUCUUUGACCGGCGAAGCAAUGCUCUAGCAAGACUUAAAAGCUGUCUUUGUCCAACACUGAAAUUUUCUCCGGCUUCCGAGACCUCCGCAUCAAGACCCAAAGAGUUCCUCCUGAUAACGUCCUUUAGGUGCGCACGUUCUAGAGACUCCCAGAGGUCAGCAUCAUUGUGCUCAUUGAAUGGAUCAAGAUUAAAUCUCACGGUCCCUGAGAACAAAACUGGUGCUUGCGGUAUAAUACCAAGAACCUUCCGUAGAUCUGUAAGUCCAAACUUUGAAACAUCAUAAUCAUCUAUUAAUAUCCUUCCUCUUUCAAGCUCAACAAGUCGGAACAAAGCAUUAAACAUGCUAGAUUUUCCAGCUCCAGUCCUGCCAACUACUCCGACUUUGUCACUCGGAGAAAUUGUGAAGGAUAUACCAUGCAGAACAGGAGGAAGUUCGGGCCUGUAACGUAAGACAACGUUCUCAAAUUGAAUGGAUCCUGCUGAAGGCCAUCCAGGAGGAGGACGACUGCCCUCAAUUAUGGAUGGACCUUCUGAUGGUAACUCUAUAUACGUUCCAACUCGCUCGACAGCAUUUAAGCUGUUCUCAG